CCCUUAGAUGUUCUGGGCCGCACGCGCGCUACACUGAUGCAUUCAACGAGCCUAUCCUUGACCGACAGGUCCGGGUAAUCUUUGAAUCUGCAUCGUGACGGGGAUCGAUUAUUGCAAUUAUUAAUCUUCAACGAGGAAUGCCUAGUAGGCGCAAGUCAUCAGCUUGCGUCGAUUACGUCCCUGCCCUUUGUACACACCGCCCGUCGCUCCUACCGAUUGGGUGUGCUGGUGAAAUGUUCGGAUCGGCCGUUUGUCGCGGUUUCCGCGUCAUGUGGCUGAGAAGUUCAUUAAACCCUCCCACCUAGAGGAAGGAGAAGUCGUAACA
This 325-nucleotide ribosomal RNA is filed under the name uncultured eukaryote. RNAcentral's name for it is "partial 18S ribosomal RNA". It matches the Rfam family "Eukaryotic small subunit ribosomal RNA", at positions 1470 to 1796 of the family's 1831-position model. The record is from RNAcentral.